Non-coding RNA from Pelobates cultripes (western spadefoot toad), 384 nucleotides. Lineage: Eukaryota; Metazoa; Chordata; Amphibia; Anura; Pelobatidae. The record is from the annotation of a GenBank genome assembly.
GAAAUCUUACUAACAAAUUAAAGAAUAGGUGUGAACUUAAAACUAUUAAGAAAAUUGUGGUAGUAAAUACAAAAUUGUUAUCUCCAACACAAAUAGGCAAAGCAUUCAGAGAAUAUUACAAGAAAUUGUAUAAUCUGAACCCCAUCGUCCCCUCUAUUCUGGAAAUUGUUGGUAAGUUAAAAUGAUCUAAAAUUUCUGAAGAAAAACCGAUUCAGCUAAACAGUCCCUUCCCUUUACAAGAGAUCAGCGACAACAUUCGAGCACUAAAGUCUGGCAAAUCUCUGGGUCUGGAUGGGUUCUCAUCACUUUUUUUUUUAUCAGAAGCUUAACGAUUUGAUUUCACCCUUUUUGUUGAGGACUUUCCUAGAGAUAGCAAUAUAUAAA